AACCCCCACCUGGAGGCUGAAGAUACAUUUUAUCACAUGUGGUGGUUAUGCCCCGAGACCAGGACAUACUGGAUCCAAAUCAAAAAUUGGUUACAAGAGAUCACUGGGUAUCAGAUUGAGCUCAGACCGGAAACCUUCCUCUUAGGAAUCAUCAAAGAUGGAUAACCGAAAGAAGUAAAAUACUUAUUAUUACACAUUAUAACAGCUGCCAGAAUAGCCUUUGCGCAAGUAUGGAAAACCCCAAAUACUCCUAAUGAAGAACUAAUAAUACAUAAAGUAACGGAAAGUGCUGAGAUUAACAUGCUAACAAUGAAACUGAAAGAAAAAGAUGACUCUGAAUUCUUUUCAAUUUGGAACAAUUGGUAUAAAUGGUUAACAAACAGA
Molecule: non-coding RNA, 384 nt
Organism: Notechis scutatus (mainland tiger snake)
Lineage: Eukaryota; Metazoa; Chordata; Lepidosauria; Squamata; Elapidae
Source: RefSeq, a predicted model, not a curated record